Molecule: unclassified non-coding RNA, 531 nt
Filed under: uncultured Bartonella sp.
Lineage: Bacteria; Pseudomonadati; Pseudomonadota; Alphaproteobacteria; Hyphomicrobiales; Bartonellaceae
Description: partial 16S-23S ribosomal RNA intergenic spacer
Rfam family: tRNA (bases 118-191)
Source: RNAcentral
AUCAAAAGCUUUAAGGAAAGCUCUUUGUUUUUUGAAAGGGUGCUUUUAUGAGAUAGAGAUUUUUUAGAUAAUGCUUUUUAAGGUUAUGCCGGGGAAGGUUUUCCGGUUUAUCUUCGAGGGGUUGUAGCUCACUCGGUUAAAGCGCGCGGUUGAAAAGCGUGAGGUCCCAGGUUCAAGUCCUUCCAGGCCCAUCAAUUGACCUACGCAUUUUCCUUUAUCCUUUUAUUCGCCUAUUUAUCGGUCCAUUGAAUUUAAUUGUUGGUUGCCGUUUUAUAUUGAUGAGAAAUCAUGCUUAUAAAAGAACUCGUUAUAAAAGGAUUGCUUUAAAAAUGGGACGCUUUUCCAUUUCGCUGAGGCAAGAGAAACUUCAAGCGGUUCAAAUUCAAAAGGCUUUAAUGUUUGCAAAUUCUUUGAAUUUUGCAAAACUCUUUGAAUUUUGCAAAACACUUUGAAUUUUAAAGUGAUCCAAGUUCGUGAUCUCGAAUUUAAAUGUUGCGAAUGCUUUAUCCUUUUUUGGGGGCCGUAUUUCAG